GUAGGUGAACCUGCGGAAGGAUCAUUACCGAGUUAGGGUCGCCUCCCAGGUGCCCGACCUCCCAACCCUGUGUCUAAAUUACCUCAGUUGCUUCGGUGGGCCGGGCGCGACCAACUGGCUUAGUAGGCCAGGCUGGCUUCGUGACCGGUGGCCGGGGAUACCCCCCGGCGGCAGAGUGCCCACCGAUGGCCCCCAUAAAACUCUUGAUACCUAAACCUGUCGUCUGAAUUUACUCGAUAUUGAAUCAAAACAAAACUUUCAACAACGGAUCUCUUGGUUCUG
RNAcentral lists this unclassified non-coding RNA (282 nucleotides) under rhizosphere metagenome. RNAcentral's name for it is "partial ribosomal RNA internal transcribed spacer region". The record is from RNAcentral.